RNAcentral lists this ribosomal RNA (491 nucleotides) under Shigella flexneri. Its description in RNAcentral is "partial 23S ribosomal RNA". It matches the Rfam family "Bacterial large subunit ribosomal RNA", at positions 2345 to 2831 of the family's 2925-position model. The record is from RNAcentral. Lineage: Bacteria; Pseudomonadati; Pseudomonadota; Gammaproteobacteria; Enterobacterales; Enterobacteriaceae.
GUUAGUGCAAUGGCAUAAGCCAGCUUGACUGCGAGCGUGACGGCGCGAGCAGGUGCGAAAGCAGGUCAUAGUGAUCCGGUGGUUCUGAAUGGAAGGGCCAUCGCUCAACGGAUAAAAGGUACUCCGGGGAUAACAGGCUGAUACCGCCCAAGAGUUCAUAUCGACGGCGGUGUUUGGCACCUCGAUGUCGGCUCAUCACAUCCUGGGGCUGAAGUAGGUCCCAAGGGUAUGGCUGUUCGCCAUUUAAAGUGGUACGCGAGCUGGGUUUAGAACGUCGUGAGACAGUUCGGUCCCUAUCUGCCGUGGGCGCUGGAGAACUGAGGGGGGCUGCUCCUAGUACGAGAGGACCGGAGUGGACGCAUCACUGGUGUUCGGGUUGUCAUGCCAAUGGCACUGCCCGGUAGCUAAAUGCGGAAGAGAUAAGUGCUGAAAGCAUCUAAGCACGAAACUUGCCCCGAGAUGAGUUCUCCCUGACCCUUUAAGGGUCCUGA